GAAAAAAAAAAAAAAAAGCAUCUUUAUGAAAACAUGCCUUCAGAAGCAGUAACAGCAGAAAAAAAUGCAUGUCUCUGUCCGGGCUGGGAUGUGAGGGAGAAAAUAGCUUGGUGUCUGCAGUAGGGCAGAAGCAGGGCAGUCCUGCCAUGUACUGCUAGAGGCAAGAGGGAAAACCUGAGGACAGAAGCCUUUAAGAUGGGAGUGCUGCCAUGAGAAGUUAUAGCAGGGGAAGGCUGUGAAGGGAGCCUAGAGGAGCGUGGAGAUGGAAGGGCAGCCAGAUUGGGUCAAGUGUCAUCAGGUGUGUAACAAGAGGCAAGCAUAGGGUCUGGAUUUGGGUUACUGAGUGAAGUGAGAGGUGGAGAGAGCAGCAGACAAGACUGUAAGCAGAGCAAAAAAGUUGAAAAAUGAUAAAUAAAAUUAAAAAGUAAAAUAAACAGGUUAGUGUCACAUCUUGUCCAGAAGGGGAAGGAAGAGGUGACCAGAUUCCUUUACACUUAGUGCGGUCCCUGUGUCUCCUGUGUGGUUGCUGCUGAUGUGUGAAAUUCAGGUCACUUGCCAGAUGGUGUUGUUAGCCACCUCUGGAGUGUCUGCUUCUAGGAAGCUUAGAGCAUCUCCUUCCAGGAAGAAGGAUGGAAGGAUGGGCUUUCACCUGUUUUUCUUAGAGACGCACCAGGAAGGAGCACUCUUGAACUGUAACACUGCUAAAGAGAAAAAGAGCUGGAGCUGAAGAAAAGGGCAAAGCUCGCACCAGAGCCACACGGAGAGCGCUCUGCAGAGAGGACGGCUGCACGCAGUGAGACGUAGGAAGAGGUGACAGAUUGUGAUCUCAGUCUCUCCAAGACAGACAAAUGAGGGAUACUGUAACCCGGCUGGAGGAGUGUUUGCUUGCCUUCAUUUGUCUGCACAUCAUCCCAUGAGCCAACUUUUGAAUUGACUGAAAGAAAGCAUCUUCGAGGCUUCCCCCUGCAUUACGAGUUGGACUCAGCGAUCCUUUUGGGUCCCUUCCAACUCAGGAUAUUCUCUCAUUCUAUGUCUGUGCACUCCUGACUUUCAAAGAAAUCUCACAAUUUUCCAGUGAUGGCAGAACUCACUUUGCUGCAUCAGAAUAUCUGCUCUACCCAAGGCUCCUCUGCAAUGUAGUCGUGGCUGGGAAAGCUCCUAGACAAAACCUGUGGGAUAAGUUGAACCCAAAGAAGAGUACCUGCAGUGGGACACAGCUGUAUGUUGAGUAACGUCCUUGGGAUCUCCAAACAUGAUGAUGCAGCCAGGGAAACCAUCAACAUUCUUAGCAUUCUGUUUUAGUUGGACUGAUGAAAAAUAAAGUAACAGUGCCUGGGUUAAGCUUCUGAGCUUCUCAAAUCAGAGAUGCGGGUGGGAGAUGCUUCUUACUUCUUCCAAUGUUCAAUUCAAUUGAGCAAAGUCAAAUAUUCCAAAGCAAAAUAAUUAAGUCCUCAAAACACAAAGUCUUUCCCCCAUUCACACACGAAAGGAUGCUUUCAUAGACUCACAGAAUAUCCUGAGUUGGUAUAGACCAAUAAGGACCCCUUCCCAUAGCGUUCAGUGUAUUCUGGUUUUUUCUUCCUUCGGAACAAAAACAAUGGAGUGACAAUGUCUAACAGAAAAAUGAAUGUUUCAGAGUGCUAGAUGAGAUGCAGCAUGGCACAUAAAUUAUGGUCGGGUAAGGAUCAUCAGUAAAGUUGCUUUAUUCAAGUGGCAUGGUAAACAAAUGCUAUAAAUUCCUAAGUAGAGCCUAAAUCAGCUUUUGGCAUAGUGCAUCACUAUAACAAGUUAAUUUUCGCUGCUCCAAGGAAUAGCCUUAUAUGGUUCACUUAAGUAAUCAUGCUAAAUGAAUGUUUAAGUGAGAACCAUUUGCCAAAUGUAAAGCAAGAACCAUAUAUAACCUCUUACACAACUACAUAACACAGCAAUGCUGGCUGGUUUCCAACAUUCUGGUUUAUGUACGAAUUAGAUCUGCUGACUCCAACCAACACCUGAGCCAAAAAGGAGCUACCUGAAAAUACUAGCACAACUGUUAAGGAUUAAUAAAUAAAUUUGCCCUGGUCUGUCCUCCUCACAGCCAGGCAAAUGAGAUUUUCUUCUCUUUUCCAGUAUAGGAUAGAAUAGUUCCAGCCUUUACUCUCAUCUCUUUGCUGAGAAAGAAGAAAUAAGAAAGUAAUAAGAAAAAAAAAGAGAAUAUCAGUACGCCAAAAGCUUUUCUGGUUACCCCAAAAGAAAUUUGACCUUCCAGUCUGGUGUACCAUGCUUCCAGCAUCCAUGCUGAUUCUGUGGUGCUUUUGUCUUACAGCCAUUAGGGGCCACACGAAAUAUACUCAGAGAAACCAAUUGCACUGUAAUUGGUUGAAGCUUACUACUGACUGCCCCCUGCCCUUGGAUCUCCCACCACCUGUAAAUGUGGGAAGAUAAGCUCAUAGGAAUAACUGAAAAAGUUCAGGGAGACCUGCCUAUGUCUAUUAGUCAUCAUUCAUCCUUUGUAGCAAGAAAACCUGCAGUAGAUGCAGGCUUACUUCUUCCUAGAGAGUGCUGUUGAGUUCUUGCAUUCACAAUAAAUCUGUUUGGAAGACUGCCCUUAAAGAGUUGCCAUGGUGAUUAUUUUGGUGCUGCAAAGUAGAAGAAGCUAAAGUACUUACUAGCCAUUUCCAAAAUCUCAUCUUUUGGGAGAGGAAAAAAAGAGAGAAAUCGCCAGAUGGCAUUUGUCAGAAAUCCGACAUUCUGAUUAUUACUGGAGCUGUUUUUGAAGGAAUUCUGGGGUUUGGGGUUUCUGGCCAGAAAAGGGAGAAUGGAAGGGCUGAGGGGAAAGAAAUGGAAAAACAAAGUCACUAUAUUUGAAGUCCCUUUAGCUUGCAUUAUUACAAUGGUUUAGGAAGAGUUCUUACAAGAGUAGGACUUAAGUAAUGAGAAUUUUCAAAAAGUCUCCUUCCUGACCAUUUACUUAAUACUUAGCAUACUGUAAAAUGAGGGGAAAUUGUUAUCUCCUUGUGAAAACAUCACCAGCUUCUAAAUGGAAAUUAUAGCUCUCUUUUGCACCUUACCUGUAACGGUAACAUCAAUGGAACAUGAGAGAUGUCCCAAAAAAUCCAGGUGUCAGUCUUCCUACUCUGAAUAGUACCAGUGCAGAAAUGGAGCUUAUCAAACUAAAACUAGGCUGUGCACUUGCUUUGGCUCUAACCAAGGUGAACUUGGGGUGAUUUAGUGAAAUUAGUGCACCUUGUCACUUCACUGCAAAAAGAAAAUAGAAGAAGGAA
Molecule: long non-coding RNA, 3263 nt
Organism: Tympanuchus pallidicinctus (lesser prairie-chicken)
Lineage: Eukaryota; Metazoa; Chordata; Aves; Galliformes; Phasianidae
Exons: 4
Source: RefSeq, a predicted model, not a curated record